Molecule: ribosomal RNA, 492 nt
Filed under: uncultured bacterium
Lineage: Bacteria
Description: partial 16S ribosomal RNA
Rfam family: Bacterial small subunit ribosomal RNA
Source: RNAcentral
AGUGAACGCUGGCGGUAGGCCUAACACAUGCAAGUCGAACGGCAGCACAGUAAGAGCUUGCUCUUACGGGUGGCGAGUGGCGGACGGGUGAGGAAUACAUCGGAAUCUACUUUUUCGGGGGGGAUAACGUAGGGAAACUUACGCUAAUACCGCAUACGUCCUACGGGUGAAAGCAGGGGAUCUUCAGACCUUGCGCGAUUGAAUGAGCCGAUGUCGGAUUAGCUAGUUGGCGGGGUAAAGGCCCACCAAGGCGACGAUCCGUAGCUGGUCUGAGAGGAUGAUCAGCCACACUGGAACUGAGACACGGUCCAGACUCCUACGGGAGGCAGCAGUGGGGAAUAUUGGACAAUGGGCGCAAGCCUGAUCCAGCCAUACCGCGUGGGUGAAGAAGGCCUUCGGGUUGUAAAGCCCUUUUGUUGGGAAAGAAAAGCAGCAGGUUAAUACCCCGCUGUUCUGACGGUACCCAAAGAAUAAGCACCGGCUAACUUCGUG